ACUCAUACCUUACAGGGGAGAUACCAUGAUCAUGAAAGUGGUUUUUCCAGGGUAAGGCUCAUCUAUUGCACUUUGGAUGUGCUGAUCCCUAUGAUUUCCCCAAAUGUGGGGAACUCAACUGCAUAAUUCGUGUUAAUGGGGGAUUGCAUUUGUGCUUUCCCUGG
Small nuclear RNA from Pogona vitticeps (central bearded dragon), 164 nucleotides. Its record names the gene U1. It matches the Rfam family "U1 spliceosomal RNA". Rfam says of the family: U1 is a small nuclear RNA (snRNA) component of the spliceosome (involved in pre-mRNA splicing). Its 5' end forms complementary base pairs with the 5' splice junction, thus defining the 5' donor site of an intron. There are significant differences in sequence and secondary structure between metazoan and yeast U1 snRNAs, the latter being much longer (568 nucleotides as compared to 164 nucleotides in human). The record is from Ensembl. Lineage: Eukaryota; Metazoa; Chordata; Lepidosauria; Squamata; Agamidae.